Molecule: long non-coding RNA, 1438 nt
Organism: Astatotilapia calliptera (eastern happy)
Lineage: Eukaryota; Metazoa; Chordata; Actinopteri; Cichliformes; Cichlidae
Source: Ensembl
GCUAUUUCAAGCCAAGUUAGAAGAUGAUGUAUUCUUCUCCUCAGCGUGUCUCAACCUGAAUACACUGAGCAAACAGAGGUGAGACUGGCCAAAGUUAAAACAAGUAUAGUUUUUGAGUUUUAUAGAUGGGCCGGAUGGUGCAGAAGCUUUUGUAACUUCCACAUCGAUAAAACCUUCCUGAGAUAUUUCAUUUGUUCAAAAACCUCAAAUUGUCAAACAUUUAAAAGGCAAAAAAAAGCAAAUCCAUAGAGACGGUGAGUAAGCGAGAAUGCACAGCAGGUGUUCUCGUGUUGAGACUAAGGAAAGCAAGCAGCCAUUUCAAAUAUUCAGUGUCUUUAUGUAUUGACAAAUCUGUACUUUUAAAUUUGAGACGAUAUUAACAGCAGCACUUCUUCCUCCUUUUGAAGUUACCUGUGUAAAUGUAAAUAGAAAUGUCCAGUAUCUUAAUACUGCUAGUUUUUUCAAUUCAAUAAAAUGUUAUUUAUAUUGUCACCUACAGUUGCCUCAGUGCACUUUAAAUUGUACGGUAAAGACAAUACAAUAAUAAAGAGAGGCUGAGAAAACCCUAGCAAUCAGAUGAUCCCCUAUGAACAAGCACUUAGCAACAGUGGAAAGGAAAAACUUCCCUUUAACAGGAAGAAACCUCCCACAGAACCAGCUCAGAGAGGGGCAGCCAUCUGCUGUGAUUCGUUGGGGGUUGGAGGAGGAGAAGGUGGGUAACGUUUUUUUAACAUUUGAAAAAACUCCAAGUGCUUCUCCCAAAUACAAAUCUUGUAAAACACACACCAAUGAAAUGGAAAAAAUGACUAAAUGGUAAAUGGCCUGUAUUUGUAUAGCGCUUUUACUAGUCCCGCCAAAGCGCUUUACACACCCAGUCAUCCACACACCGGUGGAGGCAAGCUACAGUUGUAGCCACAGCUGCCCUGGGGCAGACUGACAGAAGCGAGGCUACCAUAUCGCGCCAUCGGCCCUUCUGGCCAACACCAGUAGGAGGUAGGUGAAGUGUCUUGCCGAAGGACACAACAACCAAGACUGUCCGAGCCGGGGCUCGAACCGGCAACCUUCUGAUUACAAGGUGAACUCCCAGCUGUUGAGCCACGACCGCACUAUGAGAGUCUUAUCACCCUGUCAGCAUUUUUAUGUUCUUUUUGUUACAGCACUGUUGAUUUGAUGGUGCCAGUUUGUCAGACUGGCAUCGCACAUGUGGCUGGUGAAGAGCUGCACAUCUCGUAGAUCUGGACUUUAUUGAAAAUGGGAAUGUCAGAUUGCAGUGUAACACGUGGUCUCAUCACUGCAACAUUGCUCAGCAUUCAAUCAUAUCAUCCCGGAGAUCCUGGUCCAGAUACUGUCUCACCUGGGACUCUCCACCCCCAUCUGCCUCUGGAUCAAGGACUUCCUGACAAAUAGACCACAGUCUGUCAGACUCGGCCCCCACCGG